Molecule: non-coding RNA, 232 nt
Filed under: Enterococcus gilvus
Lineage: Bacteria; Bacillati; Bacillota; Bacilli; Lactobacillales; Enterococcaceae
Description: T-box sequence
Rfam family: T-box leader
About the family: Uncharged tRNA acts as the effector for transcription antitermination of genes in the T-box leader family. T-boxes are found upstream of many aminoacyl-tRNA synthetase genes and some amino acid biosynthetic genes usually in Gram-positive bacteria.
Source: RNAcentral
ACGUAUGCAUUGAAGAGAAGAGUAAUUAAUCACGAAACGAUUAAAGAGACCCUCGGCUGGUGAAAAGAGGGAUCGUGGAAAGUUAAUGAAGAUGAGCUCUGAGCAUUCAGUUUGUUCACGCAAAUUGAACGGAAAGCGACCGUUACUUCGCCGGGUAUGUAAGUACCGUUGAGGUAUUAUCUGAAAGGAUAAUACGAAUAAGGGUGGUAACGCGAAAAUAUUCGUCCCUUUA